GUUAAAUAACUCUACUCUGGGCAUGUCUACAUUGGCAGAGUUACAGCAUCGGGAGUUACCGCGCUGCUCAGAGAGCGCUGAAGGGAAACCGCUGUUGUGUGUUCACACUGUCAGCUGCCUGCGCAAUAGCAUAUUCACACUUGCGGCAUUUGCAGUGGUAUUCGGAGCGGUGCACUCUGGGCAGCUAUCCCACAGAGCACCUCUUUCUCUUCUGCCGCUAAAACUUGUGGGAAGGCGGAGGGGAUCAUGGGAGA
Molecule: long non-coding RNA, 254 nt
Organism: Dermochelys coriacea (leatherback sea turtle)
Lineage: Eukaryota; Metazoa; Chordata; Testudines; Dermochelyidae
Exons: 3
Source: RefSeq, a predicted model, not a curated record